RNAcentral lists this ribosomal RNA (468 nucleotides) under uncultured bacterium. RNAcentral's name for it is "partial 16S ribosomal RNA". It matches the Rfam family "Bacterial small subunit ribosomal RNA", at positions 28 to 507 of the family's 1533-position model. The record is from RNAcentral.
GACGAACGCUGGCGGCGUGCUUAACACAUGCAAGUCGAACGGAAAGGCCCUGCUUUUGUGGGGUGCUCGAGUGGCGAACGGGUGUGUAACCCGUGAGUAACCUGCCCUUGACUUUGGGAUAACUUCAGGCAACUGGGGCUAAUACCGGAUAGGAGCUCCUGCUGCAUGGUGGGGGUUGGAAAGUUUCGGCGGUUGGGGAUGGACUCGCGGCUUAUCAGCUUGUUGGUGGGGUAGUGGCUUACCAAGGCUUUGACGGGUAGCCGGCCUGAGAGGGUGACCGGCCACAAUGGGACUGAGAUACGGCCCAGACUCCUACGGGAGGCAGCAGUGGGGAAUAUGGCACAAUGGGCGGAAGCCUGAUGCAGCAACGCCGCGUGCGGGAUGACGGCCUUCGGGUUGUAAACCGCUUUCGCCUGUGACGAAGCGUGAGUGACGGUAAUGGGUAAAGAAGCACCGGCUAACUACGUG